This 193-nucleotide ribosomal RNA is filed under the name Bacillota bacterium. RNAcentral describes it as "partial 16S ribosomal RNA". It matches the Rfam family "Bacterial small subunit ribosomal RNA", at positions 1 to 184 of the family's 1533-position model. Lineage: Bacteria; Bacillati; Bacillota. The record is from RNAcentral.
UUUUUGGAGAGUUUGAUCCUGGCUCAGGACGAACGCUGGCGGCGUGCCUAACACAUGCAAGUCGAACGGAGAAGUUCAAUAAGUUUACUUAUUGAACAUCUUAGUGGCGGACGGGUGAGUAACGCGUGGGUAACCUACCCAUAAAGCCGGGACAACCCUUGGAAACGAGGGCUAAUACCGGAUAAUCUUAGAA